RNAcentral lists this ribosomal RNA (371 nucleotides) under uncultured bacterium. RNAcentral's name for it is "bacterial SSU rRNA". It matches the Rfam family "Bacterial small subunit ribosomal RNA", at positions 335 to 696 of the family's 1533-position model. The record is from RNAcentral.
ACUCCUACGGGAGGCAGCAGUAGGGAAUCUUCCACAAUGGGCGCAAGCCUGAUGGAGCAACACCGCGUGAGUGAAGAAGGGUUUCGGCUCGUAAAGCUCUGUUGUUAAAGAAGAACACGUAUGAGAGUAACUGUUCAUACGUUGACGGUAUUUAACCAGAAAGUCACGGCUAACUACGUGCCAGCAGCCGCGGUAAUACGUAGGUGGCAAGCGUUAUCCGGAUUUAUUGGGGCGUAAAGAGAGUGCAGGCGGUUUUCUAAGUCUGAUGUGAAAGCCUUCGGCUUAACCGGAGAAGUGCAUCGGAAACUGGAUAACUUGAGUGCAGAAGAGGGUAGUGGAACUCCAUGUGUAGCGGUGGAAGUGCGUAGAUA